UGGAUUAAGAGCUUGCUUAUAGAAGUUAUGCGGCGGACGGGUGAGUAACACGUGGGUAACCUGCCCAUAAGACUGGGAUAACUCCGGGAAACCGGGGCUAAUACCGGAUAAYAUUUUGAACYGCAUGGUUCGAAAUUGAAAGGCGGCUUCGGCUGUCACUUAUGGAUGGACCCGCGUCGCAUUAGCUAGUUGGUGAGGUAACGGCUCACCAAGGCAACGAUGCGUAGCCGACCUGAGAGGGUGAUCGGCCACACUGGGACUGAGACACGGCCCAGACUCCUACGGGAGGCAGCAGUAGGGAAUCUUCCGCAAUGGACGAAAGUCUGACGGAGCAACGCCGCGUGAGUGAUGAAGGCUUUCGGGUCGUAAAACUCUGUUGUUAGGGAAGAACAAGUGCUANUUGAAUAAGCUGGCACCUUGACGGUACCUAACCAGAAAGCCACGGCUAACUACGUGCCAGCAGCCGCGGUAAUACGUAGGUGGCAAGCGUUAUCCGGAAUUAUUGGGCGUAAAGCGCGCGCAUGUGGUUUCUUAAUUUUGAUGUGAAAGCCCCGGUCCCAACCCGGGAGGGUUAUUGGAAACUGGGAAACCUUACUGUAAAGAGGGAAAGUGAAAUUUCCAUUUGUAACCGUUAAAUGCGGUGGGGAUUUGGAGGAACACCAGUGCGGAUGGGUACCUUCGGUCUGUACACUCAUUGGGGGGCGAAAAGGUGGGAAGCAACCGAGCUGAUUAGUUUCCUUGGUAUCCCCCCCGGAAAACGAGGAGUGCUAAGGGUAAAGGGGUUUUCCCCCUUUAUUGUGGAAUUUAACGCUUUAACCACCCCCCCGGGGGGGUACGGCGGCAGGGUUAAAAUUAAAAGAAUUUGACGGGGGCCCGCCCAAGGGGUGAACCUGUUGGUUUAUUUGGAACCAACGGGAAAAACUUUACCAGUUUUUAACUCCUUUUGACAACCCUAAAAAUAGGGUUUUUCUUUGGGGACCAGAUUACCAGGUGGUCCAUGUUGGUCUUCAGCUCGGGUGUUAAAAUGUUGGGUUAAUUCCCGCAAGAAGGCCACCCUUUAUUUUUAGUUGCCACCAUUAAGUGGGCCAUUUUAAGGUGAUUCCCGGUGACAAACCGGGGGAAGGGGGGGAGGACGUGAAUUCUUCUUCCCCUUUUUACCUUGGGUUCCCCACGUGUUCCAAUGGAGGGUACAAAAAGCUGCAAGACCGGGAGGGGGAGUUAUUUUCAAAAAACCGUUUUCAGUUCGGAUUGUAGGUUCCAAUUCGCCUCCAUGAAGCGGGAAUCGUUGGUAAUCGGGGAUCACCAGGCCGGGGUGAAUACGUUCCCGGCCCUUGUCCACCCCCCCCGUAAGGACCCGAGAGUUUGUACCACCGGAGGUCGGUGGGGUACCCUUUUGGAGCCAGCCGCCUAAGGUGGGACAGAUGAUUGGGGUGAAGUCGUAACAA
This 1445-nucleotide ribosomal RNA is filed under the name Bacillus cereus. RNAcentral's name for it is "partial 16S ribosomal RNA". It matches the Rfam family "Bacterial small subunit ribosomal RNA". The record is from RNAcentral. Lineage: Bacteria; Bacillati; Bacillota; Bacilli; Caryophanales; Bacillaceae.